Molecule: long non-coding RNA, 301 nt
Filed under: Capsicum annuum
Lineage: Eukaryota; Viridiplantae; Streptophyta; Magnoliopsida; Solanales; Solanaceae
Description: long non-coding RNA (CANN_LNC012660)
Source: RNAcentral
AAGUCUCUUGGCUUCUUCUUCAUCAUAUCCUUUGGAUGCCAUUGCAUUUACCAUUUUGUGGGUGCACCCAUCACAUGCUUUUCAAGGAGGUCUAAUUAUGUCAUCAUCUUAGUCAUAUUUUUCUCCCUUUUUUUUCUUUCUUUCUUUGCUCCUUAUACGCAUAGGAGGUGGUAGGGGAACCUUUAGCUACCUUGGUGUCCUGGGUAUGCCACCCUCUAUUUUUCUUUAUGAUUUACUUAAGAAAAGUUGAAUCCACUCCAUAUGACAACCUCAUAAUUGAUCCACCGGCUGCGUUGUCCAC